GGGGUCUUCACCCUUUCAGGAAUAAGACAGGUCCCUGCAGAGACUUUGGACCUGAUGUGGUGAAUAAAGGUGGUUAGUCUUUCUCACAGUUCUACCUUUAGGACGAAGAAUAGAAAGCCUCCCGUGACUAUAUUCACUAACUCUCAGCCCAGGCCAGAUCAUCCACCAGCCAGUGAAUGGGACCUCGUCUGUGGCCAAACUAAGUGCAGCUCGGUGCCCUCCUGUGAUAUUUCCAGCUCUCCAGCCUCCUGCUGCCCACAGCUCACAGACCUCAUGGAGUAGUUUCCAGGACAAAGCAAGGUUAUGUCUCCACAACACCAAACAUUCCCAGGUGUGGCAGGCAAGCCAUUGAUUUAGAAGAGAGGAGGAGAGAGGAAGAGAAAACCAGAAAAGGCACUUUCUUGGUAAAGAGACAUCAGCUUUCUCACCAUGGCUGUUUCAUAACACAAGGAGACCUGGCCCAAGCUCAGAGGGGAAAGACCCCUGGGUGUUCAUGGAAAACCUUUAAGCACAGUGAGACCAAAUGUUAGUAGAUGGGGGAUAAAAGGGAGAAAUUCAUGGAGUAUGCCUAGAACAGGCCUUGUACGCAGCAUCCCCUUCUUGCCUAGGGACUUGAAGGGCCAGGCUUCCUGUCAUUGCCUCACUCAAAUGUAGCCCAGGAAGACAUUAGACUGAUAGCACUGAUCACCUCCAGACAAAACCCCUGCACCUGCACAGUCACAUAGACUUGGACAAAACCCCAUCCUUACUAAGGAAGACCUAACAACUAUUUCUUCUCACGCGCAUUCUUGUCCACCGUCUUUAUCAAAAAGCCAGGAAAACUGCUUCUUCAGACACUUUCUGAGCCGGCUGUAUUUUGAAGGACAAAAAAAAAAUUACUCUUUUGAGAGCAUUGUGUCUGCAAGGUGGGCUCACGUUAUUUUCGGUG
RNAcentral lists this long non-coding RNA (928 nucleotides) under Pan troglodytes (chimpanzee). RNAcentral describes it as "long non-coding RNA NONPTRT009149". The record is from RNAcentral. Lineage: Eukaryota; Metazoa; Chordata; Mammalia; Primates; Hominidae.